This 1461-nucleotide ribosomal RNA is filed under the name Triticum aestivum (bread wheat). RNAcentral describes it as "partial small subunit ribosomal RNA". Lineage: Eukaryota; Viridiplantae; Streptophyta; Magnoliopsida; Poales; Poaceae. The record is from RNAcentral.
AUGGGUGAGCUUGCAAGUAGAUCCAUAUCGUUCCUCAUGGCCAGGUACCUAAAGCAGACGCCGGCACCAACCGAGGAGGAGAGGCUGCGCAGCCUACAACGGCUGCUGCUGCGGGUUCGUGUCGUCGUCGAGGAGGCAGAUGGCCGGCUCAUCACCAACCAGGCCAUGCUGCAUCAACUCAGCAUACUGAGAAAGGACAUGUACAGGGGGUAUUACACCUUCGAUAUCUUCAGUUGCCGAGACCAUGGAGAUGGGAGGACAAAAGAUCAUGAAGUUAUUUACUCCUUUGCCCCAUCUAAAUUCAACCCUGCCAAGCGUGUAUGUUUCUGCAGUGGCAGCAGUGAAGGUGCAGCACAAGCUGAGCUGCUGGAGCAAGUUCUUGGCAGCAUAAGGGACGCCAUGGAAGAUGUGAGCGAGUUCAUCAUGUUUCUAAACAGUUGCCCGCGUUUGCACCGCCAGCCAUACAACAUGUAUCUGCAGCUGGACAAGUGCAUGUUCGGACGCCAAAUGGAGACGGAAGUUGUGAUGAACUUCCUGUUGCAAGCAGAGACUACUAAGUAUCUGCCUGUCCUGCCGAUUGUUGGUCCCGGAAAUGUUGGGAAGAGCACCCUGAUCGAGCAUGUGUGUGAUGCUGAAAGGGUGCGCAACCACUUCUCUCAGAUUUUGUUUUUCAAUGGUGACAAUCUUAAAGAUACAAGUGUAGAGACCCUAAGAAAUGGAGGUAGAAUCAAGCAUCAAAACCGUGGGAUGGGCGGUGGAAGGACAUUGAUCAUCAUUGAGCUGCUUCUGGAUAUUGAGGAGCCUGUAUGGAAGAUGUUGUAUUCAGCUGCAAAAACCUGCAUCACGAGUGGAAGUAAGAUGAUAAUUGUGAGCCGUUCCGACAAGAUUACAAGCUUGGGAACCACAGAACCCCUCAGGUUGCAGUGCCUUACUCAAGAAGCAUAUUGGUACUUCUUCAAGGUUCGUGCUUUUGGGAGCACGAGAGCCGAGGACCACCCAAAGCUCACAUCAAUAGCCAUGGACAUGGCUAGGCUGAUGAAUGGGUGCUUCAUGGGUGCAAGCAUCUUCAGUUAACUACUAAAAGCAAAUAUUAACCUUCAUUUCUGGAGCAUGGCCUUUGCAGCCCUGAGGAAUUCGAAGCAGACAAACAACUCAGUGUAUGGGGAGCAUUUCACUUAUCCUUGGCCAAUGCUGGAGACAGGAUAUUUCAGGAGAGUGAAGAAAACUUCUGAAUGUGUUGUCAUGUUUGCUGGCCACCAGACAUGUUCUGUUGAAACUGGACCCGAAGCUCUCAAGAUGAUUAGCAUGCAAGAUCUUCUCAAUGGAAGUGUUAGGCCUAGAGGGAAAUUCAGCGCCCAUCUGUGGACAUCUCGUCUGCCUCCUUAUCACAACUACUCUAUUCACUGUGAGAUAAGGAGGCCACACCGCGUGAACAAACACUUUCAGAAGAGAACUGUCUGA